AUUGAACGCUGGCGGAAUGCUUUACACAUGCAAGUCGAACGGCAGCACGGGGCAACCUGGUGGCGAGUGGCGAACGGGUGAGUAAUACAUCGGAACGUGCCCAAUCGUGGGGGAUAACGUAGCGAAAGUUACGCUAAUACCGCAUACGAUCUACGGAUGAAAGCGGGGGAUCGCAAGACCUCGCGCGAGUGGAGCGGCCGAUGUCAGAUUAGGUAGUUGGUGGGGUAAAGGCUCACCAAGCCAACGAUCUGUAGCUGGUCUGAGAGGACGACCAGCCACACCGGAACUGAGACACGGUCCAGACUCCUACGGGAGGCAGCAGUGGGGAAUUUUGGACAAUGGGCGCAAGCCUGAUCCAGCCAUUCCGCGUGCAGGAUGAAGGCC
RNAcentral lists this ribosomal RNA (384 nucleotides) under uncultured bacterium. RNAcentral's name for it is "bacterial SSU rRNA". It matches the Rfam family "Bacterial small subunit ribosomal RNA", at positions 30 to 416 of the family's 1533-position model. The record is from RNAcentral.